AUAACCCUGCAGUUCCACAAUCGCUACCGAAAAACAUCACAAAAUCAUGGCCACUCCAGCAGAGCCAAAUGCUUCGACUGCAAUGUCGAUGCUCUCCGGACUAUCUCGCGCGCAUUAAUUAAUAGAUUAAAGCGAUGAAAAUGCAAUGAUUAAGUAAAUGAUAACCAUAAUGAUGAAAUUUGAAGCAAAUUCAUCACUUCUCCAUUUAAAACAAACUGCAGCCGACACUCUUAAAUUUGUGACACCCAAAGAUAAAUUAUGUAGGUAAAAGGGACGGGGGCGAGCAAAAGGGAAUAAUAAGAGAACGAAAUAAAUUAACGGAUUCACUUGCGCUCAGAUUUUUGUGAGAAGCAGACGCGAUUUUUUUUAAUGUUAAUGUUAAUGGAUUCAUUUUAUAAACAACAACUAAUACAACUAACAUUUAAGGUUAAUUGAACAUGUCCCAUUUUCCAACGCAAUUGAAACGAAGCUAGCCCAAACCCCUUAAGACAACAAGACGCUGAAGACUCUGGAUUUUUUUUUAUUUAAAUGCAUAAUUUAUAUAAGACAAUUUGAAAAAAAAAAUUAAUUUUAAGUAAUAAUAUAUGGAUAACAUAAUGUUGAUGAAAUGAGGACAUGAAAAACGACUAAAAGAGCGAUGAAAACGUACUGGAAAUGUGUGGGGGGAUU
Molecule: long non-coding RNA, 669 nt
Organism: Drosophila erecta
Lineage: Eukaryota; Metazoa; Arthropoda; Insecta; Diptera; Drosophilidae
Exons: 3
Source: RefSeq, a predicted model, not a curated record